Molecule: transfer RNA, 76 nt
Filed under: Candidatus Atribacteria bacterium
Lineage: Bacteria; Pseudomonadati; Atribacterota; Atribacteria
Description: tRNA-Lys
Rfam family: tRNA
About the family: Transfer RNA (tRNA) molecules are approximately 80 nucleotides in length.
Source: RNAcentral
GUACCCGUAGCUCAGUUGGUAGAGCACCGGAUUUUUAAUCCGUAGGUCGUAGGUUCGAUUCCUGCCGGGUAUACCA